This 462-nucleotide ribosomal RNA is filed under the name uncultured bacterium. RNAcentral describes it as "partial 16S ribosomal RNA". It matches the Rfam family "Bacterial small subunit ribosomal RNA", at positions 28 to 507 of the family's 1533-position model. The record is from RNAcentral.
GACGAACGCUGGCGGCGUGCUUAACACAUGCAAGUCGAGCGGAAAGGCCCUUCGGGGUACUCGAGCGGCGAACGGGUGAGUAACACGUGAGUAACCUGCCCCAGACUUUGGGAUAACCCUCGGAAACGGGGGCUAAUACCGGAUACGACACAGCUUCGCAUGGGGUCUGUGUGGAAAGUUUUUCGGUUUGGGAUGGGCUCGCGGCCUAUCAGCUUGUUGGUGGGGUGAUGGCCUACCAAGGCGACGACGGGUAGCCGGCCUGAGAGGGCGACCGGCCACACUGGGACUGAGACACGGCCCAGACUCCUACGGGAGGCAGCAGUGGGGAAUAUUGCACAAUGGGCGGAAGCCUGAUGCAGCGACGCCGCGUGAGGGAUGACGGCCUUCGGGUUGUAACCCUCUUUCAGCAGGGACGAAGCGUAAGUGACGGUACCUGCAGAAGAAGCGCCGGCCAACUACGUG